GGGGUUGAGAGGAGAAAGUUGGUAGGGGCUCUGCCAGCUGUCCAAGGGCUGGGCCCAUUCUUCAGAGGAGGCGCCGGGGGGUAAGCAGAGGGCGACGACGUGCCGCCCAGGGGUUCGGAUGCGCCCACCGCCCACCCCCACCGGAGGAGAAGCUGUGCAGGAAGUGGCUGCUGUCGGCCCGGAGCCCCAGGGCACCCGCCGGCAUCGAGGAGUACUUGGCCUCUCCCCCUGGACGCCCUUUCCUGGGCAAGGCCCUAGAAGAACAGCUCACAGGGUCUAACCCAGGUAUUCCGCAGCGCCCCCCAACACAGCCCUCUGGCGUCUGGCCCCCCUCUGACACUGUCCACUUCAGCAAGUGAAAAGGGAAGCUCUGCAUCUGGGGAGAAACCCAGACCAUCACUGCCACGGCACAUCCACCAUGGGCUGGAGGACUGGAGACGGGAGAGGAGGGUCUGCAGGGGACACUGAGGACAGGUCAGGAAAGCAUCUAUCCAGAAAGAAAAAGAAGAGGAUGAAGAAAAACCCUCCCCGACAAACGCCCCUGAGAGAUAUCCAGCCUGGGUCCACAAGGGUUCUUCCUCGGCCUUGAGAAAGAAGCCAGCUGCUGGACCACAGAACUUUGUUUCCCCGAUUCACUAGGAAUGGGUGUUUCAGCCACAGGCUGGAACCGGAGGACAACACUGUCUUCUGUUUUCGGGACGUUCAGCCCCACCCAAGGCAGGCCACCACAUUGUACAACAUCAUAGCCUUUGGGCGGGGGGUGCUCCCUGGAACUGAGCAGUGCACAGCUCUUGCAACUGUACGCAGCAGCCCUGCACCCAGGCUAGGGGACGGGCAAGUGUAGCUUUGCCUGUGCGCCAAUCACUGCUAGGAUGGACACCUGCAGACCAGCCAGAGGCAUCUGUGAACAGGAGGCUGAACACACCUGCUUCAAGUUCAGGUCCGCAGGCCUGUUCCACAGCGAAUCCAGAGGCAUGUGAAAUGUGGGGCUGAACACCUCGGCAGUCAGCCAGGCACCAGGUCUGUGUGGACCCUCAGCUCCUUCCCCAGACCCCCCCGGACCUCCCCAGAUCUCUUUGGCAGGAAGAUCACUAUCCAUAAGUUCAAGUCAAUAAAUAUUUCCUAAGCCCUUG
Mesoplodon densirostris (Blainville's beaked whale) is the source of this 1133-nucleotide long non-coding RNA. RefSeq lists it as uncharacterized. Lineage: Eukaryota; Metazoa; Chordata; Mammalia; Artiodactyla; Ziphiidae. The record is from RefSeq and is a predicted model, not a curated record. The transcript is spliced from 3 exons.